This 87-nucleotide transfer RNA is filed under the name Candidatus Campbellbacteria bacterium RIFCSPHIGHO2_12_FULL_35_10. RNAcentral describes it as "tRNA-Ser". It matches the Rfam family "tRNA". From Rfam's summary of the family: Transfer RNA (tRNA) molecules are approximately 80 nucleotides in length. RNAcentral also lists the same sequence under 2 other names. The record is from RNAcentral. Lineage: Bacteria; Candidatus Campbelliibacteriota.
GGAAGAGUGGCUGAGAGGUUGAAGGCGCCGCUCUCGAAAAGCGGUAAGGGGGAAACCCCUUCGUGGGUUCAAAUCCCACCUCUUCCG